UAACUGAAGAGUUUGAUCAUGGCUCAGAUUGAACGCUGGCGGCAGGCUUAACACAUGCAAGUCGAGCGGAGAGAGGUAGCUUGCUACUGAUCUUAGCGGC
Molecule: ribosomal RNA, 100 nt
Filed under: Acinetobacter pittii
Lineage: Bacteria; Pseudomonadati; Pseudomonadota; Gammaproteobacteria; Moraxellales; Moraxellaceae
Also listed under: 1 other name
Description: partial 16S ribosomal RNA
Rfam family: Bacterial small subunit ribosomal RNA
Source: RNAcentral